This 100-nucleotide microRNA precursor is filed under the name Caenorhabditis brenneri. Its description in RNAcentral is "pre miRNA CBN34386". The stretch from base 12 to 83 matches the Rfam family "let-7 microRNA precursor family". Rfam says of the family: This family represents the microRNAs (miRNA) let-7 and mir-98. let-7 was identified from a study of developmental timing in C. elegans, and was later shown to be part of a much larger class of non-coding RNAs termed miRNAs. The extents of the hairpin precursors are not generally known and are estimated based on hairpin prediction. The record is from RNAcentral. Lineage: Eukaryota; Metazoa; Nematoda; Chromadorea; Rhabditida; Rhabditidae.
AACCCUCGCGGUCCGUUGAGGUAGUAGGUUGUAUAGUUUAGAAUCAUAUCCCGGUGAACUAUGCAAGCUUCUACCUCACCGGAAUAUCAGGAUUCUUCUC